UUAAACAAUGUUUCAUAAUAACUUGUGAAAUAACAAUGCGGAAUAAAGUACAAGCCCGACAUCGGAGUGUCACUAGUCAUGAGCAUCUAUCAAGGUAUGAAUAACAACAAAAGUCUAAAAAUAUACUAAAUACAGUAAUAGCAACUUGAGGAAGGGAGCAGUGCUGCGAACGUCAUGCAACCACCUGCUAACUCUGAUGACUCCGUGUCUAAGCAAAACAACACCCGCUAUCGGGUUCUGAUAUACGUACAUCUGCACACGAGGUGUAAGGAGUAAUAUGAGUACUCCAAUCCAAUAAGUAAUAAGAGCACAUAAAGACUAAGCAGUAGAAAACAAUGAAUCCACAUUCACGUUAGGCUCAAUAAACACAAUAGGCUUCCAAUUCAUAAUACAAGUCAACUUUUCCUUUUUAAAAUACAACCCAAGAUAUAAUAACAUCAAACAAUUAACUAUCAAUUACACAUGAAAAUAAUUAGUCGGGAUGGACCAGGUCACAAUCCCCACCGGUGCUCUACUUCACGCUCAUCAUCUAGCGUGUAAGUCACCUCAAUGUAACACAAUGAAGUGUAAUCCAGGAUUUCAAACCCCUCAGGACAGUAUUUACAAUCAUUACUUACCUCGAAUCGGCGAAUUUCCUAGCUCGCGACGCCUUUGCCCCUCAAUUCGGCCUCCACGCACGUCGAAUCUAUCCAAAAUCAGAGCGAAUGCAUCACAAUAUGCUAAGGGAACAACGCCCAACUGAAAACAAUCAAUAAUGGGCACAAAUCCCGAAUUACCAAAAUUCGAGCCCCGGGCUCACUUCUCGAACUCACAAAUUUACACAUCAGCGGGUUCCUUAUCCUCCCACGAAUGCAUACAUACCAAAAGUUCUAAAAUCUGACCCCAAAUGGUCCGUCAAAUCCCAAUUUAAAAGUCUAAUUUCUCAAGCCCUAGUUUUUUAAUUUUAGGCUUAGUUCCCAUGAAUUUCUAGGUAGAUUUCACAAAAAAAAAAUGAGUUUUAAGCUCAAGAAACAUACCUUCAAACAUUUCCUUUGAAUCUCUCUUUAAUAACCUUCCAAAACCCUUCAAAACGAGCAGCUAUAGUGGAAAAAUACCCCUACCUUCGCGAACAAAACGCCUUUAAAAUAUUAUGUCCAGGCCUGACAUUCCUUUUUUGCGAACGCAGUCAACCUCUCACGAACGCGUAGAACAAAAUUUCAUGACCAAUUUUUACCUUACGCAAAUGCGACAUGCCAGUCGUGAAUGCAAUUCUUCCACAGCCUUGAACUUCGCGAACGCGUUCGCUUCCACACGAACGCGAUGAAUAACUGACCAUCAGCCCCAAAUCCUCUUCCAUGAUCGCGUACACAUACUCGUGAUCGCGAUGAAGUCCCCUCACAAGCCUUCGCGAAUGUGGUAUGGACCCUCGUGAACGUGAAGCUUACAAAACUCAGCCUUUUAUUAACGCGAAGGCCAAAAUAACUGCAACACCAAAACUAAAAAUCUGCAAUCUCUCAAACACAAAAAAAUGGUCUGAUUGCCCAUCCGAAACUCAUCUGAGGCCCCGAAAUCUCAACCAAAGCCACCAACAUAUCCCAUAACAUCAUUCAAAUUUUUUCCAAUCAUCAAAACACCUAAAACAACAUCAAAACCAUCGAAUUGCAUUGAAUUCAAGCCUAAGUUCUUUUAAAACUCUCUGAAACACGCAUUCGAUAAAAAACCCAACCAAAUCACCUCUGAAUGAACUGAAAUUUUACACACUCAUCCAAAAUAUAUAACGAAGCUACAGAAACUCUCAAAAAUCUAUUCCAACCCUCGGAUCAAAAUCUCACCAAUCAACUGAAAUUCGCCAAAAUACAAACUUUACCGAUUCAAGCCAAAUCCUUCCACGUACUUCCAAAAUGCAUUCUGAUCGUGCUCCUAAGGCAUAAAUCACCUAACGGAGCUAGCGAAAUCGUAAAAUUCCUAUCCAAGCUCAUAUAAAAAUAAUUCAAAUCUUGGUCAAACAUUUCAAAUUUUAAGCUUUAAAUUGAGAAUAUUUCUUCCAAAUUCAUUUUGAUUAACCUGAAACCAAAACCAACGAUCUUAUAGGUCAUAUUACACCACAUGGGCUAAAUCAUGCAUGAGAACUGGCGAUCAAAGUGCAAAGGGUAAAAACGACUGGUUGGGUUGUUACAUCCUUCCCUACUUAAACGCACGUUCGUCCUCGAAAGUACCCAGAGUUGUUCUGGAAGUCAACCAAUAGCUGAAUAACUUUACCAUGCAUAUACCGGGGGUGAUCCCACGACACCCUAUCUCAUAUAGGUCCGAUAACAUAUUUUUACUAAAAUUGCACAACCUAUUCUAGCCCAUAAUACAACCAAAUUUUCACUUCUGAAACCAUCAAUACGAUUAAAACCUUACAACUAUACUCUAGAUUGGCUCUAACUAGCUCUAAUAACCCCUGCCUGCAACUUCAAGUGCAAUUAUCUGAUACACCACGUUAACUUCUAUUCCCAACAACUGCACACCACACCCGAAUUCGGUAGAAAACCUCUUAUCAACUAAAGUCUCAUUCCAACACUUCCAUGUACUACCAAUGAUAAAUGAAAAACGUAAUAAGCCAUAACCAUUUCUUAGAUCAGCCAUCCACAAGGUUACUUCUCCCUUGGAAAGGACCAUAGCAAAUUCCUGAACUGAAACUCUCCAGUACCAUCACAACACAUGGCUGAGAACCCAUCUCGCAUAAUGGGAAUAGAACACACUAAUCUAACCCGCAAGGUCAUAAUUCCGCAUAGCUUCUUCACCACGCGCGAUCCAAUCCAGACAUUGCUCCACAUAGAAUACCUCAAGUCACUAUGCUCGAAAUCGACAACCAUGCACAAUUUGAUGUCAAGAACCAAGGCAUAUUAUUACACCCAUGGUGAAACAAAUAAUGUAUACCAAGCAACCUAAUAGGACACAACCGAUAUGCCAUUCAGCAAACAACACCCAAUUACUCUUCCCGCUCGACUACCACUAUGAGACCCUAAAUGAACUGCACCAUAUGUGCCCAUAAUCAACAAACCAUGUCGUCAACACCGAAAUACAACUCAUAGACCACCCCAGAUUACUAAUAAGCUCAAUAACAAUCGAAUCAACACAUCCCACAAUAAUACAAUUCGAAGUCAAUAAAACCAUCUCGAUGCAGGAAACAUAUCCGCAUAGGUCCACCAAUGGAACACUACACACAAUAGGUAAAUAAUCCUUCGAAGGCCCACGAUGACUGAAUCAAAGCACAUACUAAUAACUGACUAUCUUACCCACAUUUUGCCAUCCACAACCACAAGCCAACCUCCUUAUGAGAACUUCUAGUCUCCAAGUCCAUAAAAUACACCAAUUACCAUAUCUAAUCCCAUUUCCACCACUCGCAUAUAUAACUCACAUCUAGUACUCAAUUAUUCCAUGAGAGAUACUCUAAGAAAAUACACAUCUCCAACCAUGAUAGAAGUCAACAAGAGCUCUCCUAAUUUCAUUUGCACAAACUAGACCGCCAGGACUGAAUCCUUCUAACUAGACCAAGCUAAGCAAGCCGUCAAAGCGCAAGAGCAUUGCUGCAAAAUAUCUGGACGAACCCAUUACCUUGAACACACAUGAAGAUUUAAUCAUAUUCUUAUCAUACCGAUCUGGUCUACUAUCAAGCUGUUCCAUCCAUCUAGAUUUCCUUCUCAUUUAUCUUUAACUUGAUAAUCCUUCUUGCUGUGGCACCACAAUUCCUCAACCCAAGGCUUACCACACGGGACCCAAGCAUAAAACCACAUUGUUCAAAACCCAUAUACUGAUGAACACUCCCUUAAAUAUUCCCAAAACCACCACAUUCCAAAAUACAUUACUCUGCAGAACUUCCUAUGAAACUAAAUCUGUUACCUUUACUUUCCUGAUACUGAUACAUAGAAUCUCAUAGUUAACAUAAAAAUACCACAAGCCUUGAACUCUUUCAAUGGAAACUCGGUUUCUAACCACAUAUAUGAAUUUGAGAUGCCCAAUUUCUACAUGAAGCAUCUUGAACAUAUUCGAACCAUUUUCGAGAGUUAUUCAUUCUGUUCAUUCUACACUUAAUCCGAUCAACAGAACCGAACAACCAGUGCCUAAUUGGCACUUCUGACACUACAGAACAUAACAUUUCCUUAGUCAAAAUUUUCCUUUACUCGAGCCAUCCUCGGAUCAACCUCCGCAACUAGAACUAAUUCACCAUUUGCCUCAGAUCAAAACGAAUAUAGCAUAUGACCGAGCAAUCAGCUAAUCAAUAGUAAACUCCCCCACUUGGCUUGAAGCCAUAUAUCAGAAUACAUUUAAUAGCUCAUAACACUUAUACUAUAUUGAUGCCACAAUACCAUAGUGAGAUUAAACUCGAAUCUUUUGUGAGCUUGUGAAACACAAACCAUCUAGUACUUUAAAUCUUCAGCAAAUCUCGCAUUCAUCCUUGCAACAGUGAAGCCCACUCUCUUAAGCGGCCCAAAUUUAAAUUUCAAUACAUAUUUUUCACUAGUAAAUGAGAUCUUCUAAUAGACAGCAUAAGGAUUGCACCACUUCAGAACACUCCGCAGGAUAAAACCCACAUGUUUUGCCUUCAACUAACAAUUUUGUAUACCUUCCACCAUCACAAACAUUAUGCAGUCAAUUAGCCUUUCUGAGUCUAAACUCAUACCGAAACAUAAAAUUUACAUCACUCUCAAUUGGAAAACAUGAAAUGUCCUUCACAUGUCCAUAACUCGGGGCAAUACCUCAUAUCACAAUGGAAUUCAAAUACCUAACAGUUCUUCUAUCAUCCAGCAGACCUUCCUCGUUAGUUCCAAGUCACAUAGAAAUAUCUCGCAGUACAAACAUACUCAUCAUAUAGCUAUCCAGUCGUCACUCCCACUAAUAGGAACAAUACCGAACGUGUAAGUUCAAAACCCAUGCUCACACAAUCAGCACGACGGUGCUCAAGCCAUAGGCGAAGAUCCGACCUCAAGUCCUCCAGACUGGCCCAACAUCAACUCAUAGAGAUCACAUCUCGCCCCUCAAUCGGGGAAUCACAAGUCAUUGACGCACAUCUGAUAUUGAGCGCUCAUGCACACAUACGAACGCGUGGAAGGAAUUUCGAGAGUUAACUUUCAAGCUGAAUCAAGGACGCUCAAUAAAAAUUCAAGAAUGAGAAGUUUUCCUAAUGGUUUCGUAGCCGCUCGAGGAUAAAUACUGACGUCUCCGUACCGAACCAAGAGACUCUACUAAACCUGCUCAUGACUCGUAAGACCUAGUAACCUAGGUUCUGAAACCAACUUGUCACGACCCAAAACCAGUCAUGAUAGUGCCUCUCAUGAGGACAUGGCCAGCCGACACAACACUCAUAUUAACCCCUUAAGCAUUAAGAUUUAUUUUUAAGCCUUCAAUUAAACAAUGUUUCAUAAUAACUUCUAAAAUAAUAGCGUGGAAUAAAAUACAAGCCCGACAUCGGGGUAUCACUAGUCAUGAGCAUCUAUCAAGGUCUGAAUAACAACAAAAGCCUAAAAAUAUACUAAAUACAGUAAUUGCAACGUGAGGAAGGGAGCAGUGCUGCCACGUCAUGCAGCCACCUACUAACUAUGAUGACUCCGCGUCUGACCAAAACAACACUCGCUAUCGGAUUCCGAUAUACCAGCAUCUAAACACGAGGUGUUGGGAGUAAUGCGAGUACUCCAACCCAGUAAGUAAUAAGAGUAAAUAAAGGCUAAGCAAUAGGAAAGAAUGAAUCUGCAUUCAUAUUAGGCUCAAUAAACAGAACAGGCUUUCAAAUCAUAAUACGAGUCAACCUUCCAUUUUUUAAAAUACAGCUCUUAGUAAAAAUAACUUUUGAAGCACUUUCCGGCAGUUUCAGUAGGGGUUAAUACCACUUAAGAUGAUUAUUGAGAUUAUAGCCAGAAUCGGCCCCUCGGGCAAAACAUAGUUCGUAAAAUAGCCGUUCGGGCAAAACAAUAAUCAUAAACACUUAAUAACUUGAAAUCUAAGUGGAAAUAGCCAAAUACAAAACCAGUGAUUAAUUUCUGAACGUCUCGUAAACCCCAGUUUAAAUAAAAGUUAUUUUAAAAUAUUUGUUCAACUUUUUGACAGAGGCUCAAUAUAAAGAUGAGUGAAAUAGUCAAUAAAUCAACAUAUUCGAUAGAAUCUCGCUGUUAAGAGGAUCGAAAUCAAUAAGUUCAUAAACAGGCUUUCAGGCAAACUAUCACUGAUGUGCAUGUAUACAUCUAUCGCCCUUCGGGCUUUCCUCUCUAUCAUUUGUAACUCAUCUCUUGCCAAACAACACUCGCACUCAGCAUUCACGCUCAAUAGGUAAACCAUAGUAACUGCUACGACAGGUAACCCAUAUUUCGUCGACGGUGGUUACUAGGGGUGUGCAGACUCUGAGAGGGUCCCUUACUCCCCAAGCGCAAUAUUGCUGCGACGUGCAGCCCAUUUCAACAUAUCGCUACGACGUGCAGCCCGAUUCAUAUAAGUAUCGCUGCGACGUGCCCCAGCGGUAAUCUACCCCAUGCUCAUCAUCUAGAGUGUAAGUCACCUCAACAUAACACAACGAUGUAUAAUCUGGUGUUUCAAAUCCUCAGGAUAAUAUUUACAAUCAUUACUUACCUAGAACUGGCAAAUUCCCUAGCUCGCAACGCCUUUUCCCCUCAAAUUGGCCACCACGCUCGUCGAAUCUAUCCAAAUUCAGAGCGAAUGCAUUACAAUAUGCUAAGGGAACAAGGCCCAAGCGAAAACAAUCAAUAACGGGCACAAAUCCCAACAUUACUAAAACCCGAGCCUUGGGCCCACUUUUCCAAACUCAAAAAAUUUCACAUCAACGGGUUCCUUAUCCUCCCACAAGUUCAUACAUAUCAAAAGUUCUAAAAUCCAACCCCUAAUGGUCCGUUAAAUCCCAAUUUAAACGUCCAAUUUCUCAAGCCCUAGUUCUUCAAUUUUAGGCUUAGUUCCCAUGAAUUUCAAGAUGGAUUUCACAAAAAAAAAAAAAGAGUUUUAAGCUUAAGAAACUUACCUUCAAACGUUUACCUUGAAUCUCUCUUUAAUAACCUUCCAAAACACUUCAAAACAAUAACUAUGGUGGAAAAAUACCCCCACCUUUCGCGAACGGAACGCCUUUAAAACAUUUAAUCCAGGCCUGACAUUCCUUUUUCGCAAACGCGGUCAAUCUCUCGCCAACACGUAGAACAAGAUUACGUUAAACAGUAUUUAUCUUACGCACACGCGGCAUGCUAAUUGCGAACUAAAUGGUUCCACAGCCUUGAACUUUGCGAGCGUGAUGAAACUGACCAUCAGCCCCAAAUCCUCUUCCGCUAUCGCGUACACAAACUCGCGAUCACGAUGAAGUCCCCUCACAAGUCUUCGAGAACACGCAUGGAUCCUUGAGAAUGCGAAGCUCACAAAACUCAGCCAUUCACAAACGUGAGCUCUCCUUCACGAACACGAAGGCCAAAAUGCCUGCAACACCAAAACUGAAAAUCUGCAAUCUCUCAAAUACAAAAAAAUUGUCCGAUUGACCACCCGAAACUCACCCGAGGCCCCCGGUACCUCAACCAAAUCCAUCAACAUAUCCCAUAACUUCAUUCAAACUUGUUCCAAUCAUCAAAACACCUCAAACAACAUCAAAACCAUGUAACCACAUAUAUGACUUUGAGAUGCCCAAUUUCUACAUGAAGCAUCUUGAACACAUUCAAACCAUUUUCGAGAGUUAUUCAUUCUGUUCAUACUACACAUAGCCCGAUCAACAGAACCGAAAAACCAGUGCCUCAUUGGCACUUCAGACACUGCAGAACAUAACAUUUCCUUAGUCAAAAUUUUCCUUUACUCGAGCCAUUAGGCUCAACCUCCGCAACUAGAACUAAUUCACCAUACGUCUCAAAUCAAAACCAAUAUAUCAUAUAACCGAGCAAUCAGCUAAUCAAUAGCAAACCACCCCACUUGGCUCGAAGCCAUUUAUCAGAAUACAUUUAAUAGCUCAUUACACUUAUACUAUAUUGAUGCCACAAUACAAUAGUGAGAUUAAACUCGAAUGCUUUGUAAGCUUGUGAAACACAGACCAUCUAGUACUUUUAAUCUUCUGCAAAUCUUGCAUUCAUCCUCGCAACAGUCAAGCCCACUCUCUUAAGCGGCCCAAAUUUAAAUUUCAAUACAUAUUUUUCACUAGUAAAUGAAAUCUUCUAACAGACAACAUAAGGAUUGCAUCACUUCAGAACACUCCGCAGGAUAUAACCCACAUGUUUUGCCUUCAACUAACAAUUUUGUAUACCUUCCACCAUCACAAACAUUAUGCAUUCAAUUAGCCUUUUUGAGUCUAAACUCAUACCGAAACAUAAAGUUUACAUCACUCUCAAUUGGAAAACAUGAAAUUUCCUUCACACGUCCAUAACUCGGGGCUAUACCUCAAAUCACAAUGGAAUCCAAAUACCUAACAGUUCUUCUAUCAUCCAGCAGACCUUCCUCGUUAGUUCCAAGCCACAUAGAAAUAUCUCGCAGUACUAAUAUACUCAUCAUAUUGCUAUCCAGUUGUCACUCCCACUAAUAGGGACAAUACCAAACGUGUAAGUUCAAAACCCUUGCUCACACAAUCAGCACGACGGUGCUCAAGCCAUAGGCGAAGAUCUGGCCUCAAGUCCUCCAGACUGGCCCAACAUCAAUUCAUAGAGAUCACAUCUCGCCCCUCAAUCGGGGAAUCACAAGUCAUUGACGCACAUCUGAUACUGAGCGCUCAUGCACGCAUACGAACGCGUGGAAGGAAUUUCGAGACCUAACUUUCAAGCUGAAUCAAGGACGCUCAAUAAGAAUUCAAGAAUGUGAAGUUUUCCUAAAGGUUUCGUAGCAUCUCGAGGAUAAAUACUAACAUCUCCGUACUGAUCCGGGAGACUCUACUAAACCUGCUCAUGACUCGUAAGACCUAGUAACCUAGGUUAUGAAACCAACUUAUCACGACCCAAAACCAGUCGUGACACUGCCUCUCAUGAGGACGGGGCCAGCCAAUACAACACUCAUAUUAAUCACUUAAGCAUUAAGAUUUAUUUUUAAGCCUUUAACUAAACAAUGUUUCAUAAUAACUUCUGAAAUAAUAGUGUGGAAUAAAAUACAAGCCCGACAUCGGGGUGUCACUAGUCAUGAGCAUCUAUCAAGGUCUGAAUAACAACAAAGGCCUAAAAAAAUACUAAAUACAGUAAUAGUAACGUGAGGAAGGGAGCAGUGCUGCAAACGUCAUGCAGCCACCUACUAACUCUGAUGACUCCGCGUCUGACCAAAACAACACUCGCUAUCGGAUUCCGAUAUACCAGCAUCUGAACACGAGGUGUAGGGAGUAAUGCGAGUAUUCCAACCCAGUAAAUAAUAAGAGUAAAUAAAGGCUAAGCAAUAGGAAACAAUGAAUCUGCAUUCAUAUUAUGCUCAAUAAACACAACAGGCUUUCAAAUCAUAAUACGAGUCAACCUUCCCUUUUUUUUAAAAUACAGCUCUUAGUAAAAAUAACUUUUGAAGCACUUUCUAGUAGUUUCAGUUAGGGUUAAUACCACUUAGGAUGAUUAUAGCGAUUAAAGCCAGAAUCGGCCCCUCGGGCAAAACAUAGUUCGUAAAAUAGCCCUCGGGCAAAACAAUAAUCAUAAACACUUCAUAACUUGAAAUCUCAGUGGAUAUAGCCAAAUACAAAACCAGUGAUUAAUUUCUAAACGUCUCGUAAACCCCAGUUUAAAUAAAAAUUAUUUUAAAAUAUUUGUUCAACUUUUUGACGGAGAUUGAAUAUAAAGAUGAGUAAAAAUAGUCAAUAAAUCAACAUAAUCGAUAGAAACUCGCUGUUAAGAGGACCGAAAUCAAUAAGUUCAUAAACAGGCCUUUCAGGAAAACUAUCCCUGAUGUGCAUGUAUGCAUCUAUCGCCCUUCGGGCUUUCCUCUCUAUCAUUCGUAACUCAACUCUUGCCAAACAACACUCGUCGUCAGCAUUCACGCUCAAUAGGUAACCCAUAGUAAUCGCUACGAUAGGUAACCCAUAUUUCGUCGACGGUGCUCACUAGGGGUGUGCAGACUCCGAGAGGGGCCCCUUACUCCCCAAGCACAAUAUUGUUGCGGCGUGCAGCCCGCUCCAACAUAUCGCUACGAUGUGCAGCCCAAUUCAUAUAAGUAUCGCUGCGACGUGCCACGGCGGUAAUCUACCCCACGCUCAUCAUCUAGCGUGUAAGUCACCUCAACAUAACACAAAGAUGUAUAAUCCAGUGUUUCAAAUCCUCAAGAUAACAUUUACAAUCAUUACUUACCUAGAACCGGCGAACUCCCUAGCUCGCAACGCCUUUUUCCGUCAAAAGUCGGCCACCACGCUCGUCGACUAUCCAAAUUUAGAGCAAAUGCAUUACAAUAUGCUAAGGAAACAAGGCCCAAGCGAAAACAAUCAAUAACGGGCACAAAUCCUGAAAUUACCAAAACCCGAGCCUUGGGCCCACUUUUCCAAACUCAAAAAAUUUCACGUCAACGUGUUACUCAUCCUCCCACGAGUUCAUACAUAUCGAAAGUUCUAAAAUCCGACCCCAAAUGGUCCGUUAAAUCCCAAUUUAAAUGUCUAAUUUCUCAAGCCCUAGUUCUUCAAUUUUAGGCUUAGUUCCCAUGAAUUUCUAGAUGGAUUUCACACAAAAAAAAAAGAGUUUAAGCUUAAGAAACUUACCUUCAAACGUUUUCCUUGAAUAUCUCUUUAAUAACCUUCCCAAACACUUCAAAACGAACAACUAUGGUGGAAAAAUACCCCCACCUUUGCGAACAGAAUGCCUUUAUAGGUCAUAAUAGACCACAUGGGCCAAAUCAUAUGCGAGAACUGGAGAUCAAAGUGUAAAGGGUCAAAACGACCGAUCAGACCGUUACAUAUAAUUUUGAAUCACGAAAAAUAAAUAUAGAUAAAAUUUGAUUCUUCCUGAUGAAACAAUAUUAGUUGGUAUGAGUCAAGCAGGUGACCCAAUGAAAACUAUAAAAC
This 10939-nucleotide long non-coding RNA is filed under the name Nicotiana benthamiana. RNAcentral's name for it is "long non-coding RNA (NBEN_LNC009546)". Lineage: Eukaryota; Viridiplantae; Streptophyta; Magnoliopsida; Solanales; Solanaceae. The record is from RNAcentral.